RNAcentral lists this long non-coding RNA (34764 nucleotides) under Vitis vinifera (wine grape). RNAcentral describes it as "long non-coding RNA (VVIN_LNC004378)". The record is from RNAcentral. Lineage: Eukaryota; Viridiplantae; Streptophyta; Magnoliopsida; Vitales; Vitaceae.
UUAUGUCUUAGGGAAUUUCAGCAAGUUAAAGAUUUUUUAUGUGAAUGUAGGAAUCAAUUCUAAGAACUCGAGAGGUAGCAUCCAAUAUGUAUUCACCUUACUACAGCAAAGAAUCUAACACUUUGGGUAAGUGUUCAUUCUUUAACUUAGGAAAAAUAGAUGGUAAGUCACCUCACUAAGCUUCUUGUUAUUCAUUGUCAAGCUUGAAAUCACUACUAGAGGGAUGUCAAAAGGAAGCAUGUGCAGAUUGAUCCUAUGGCUUAUCAUGUCCCAAGAAUUCAUAUCUACCAGUCUCAAAUAGCUAAUGCACAAAGGACCUAUUCUCUGUUUACAAUUCGGGUGCACUAUCUGCAAUGCUUGUUCUAAGGUUUGCUAUGCCAACUUUUUUUCCUUCUUUUGAUGGCUACUUUAUUUCUUAUUUUACAUUCAAUUUGUUCCAAUUCUUAUUUUAUAAGUUAUGUAUUGUUGGUGCAUAUGGAAUGAGUAAAUUCACUUGCAUCAUUAUGUCUCUAUUAUUCAGGUAUGUCACUCCACUUCCUCUUCCCACCUCAAAACUCUUUAUAGCUUAGUUCUUCACUACAAAUUUCGUAAGAACUAUAAAAGCUCAAAUUCAACUAUUGUAUUUUAGUUGUUCAAAGCAAUAAAACAGCAAACAACAACUAGUUGAGUGAGCGGCUCGUACUACCGACUUGAAGUGCUUGAUUCAAUUUAUUGUUAGGUGCCUAAACAAGCCUUUAUAUAUAAUUCUUAACUGAAAAUGAGUAAUAUGAUGUUUAGUGUGGAUGUCCUCUUCUAUGACACGAGAGUAAUAAUUUCUUGUUGUUUUGCCCUUCUUUUGUUAGGAGGAAUUAUAUUGCCUAUUGCUAAGGGAAGAAGUUGCUAGAAUCUAAUACUGUGAAAGUGUAAAUUUUGGAGUUUCUUUGUAAUUGCAUUGUAAGAUCAUCUAAUCUCUAAGUGAAAAAACUCUUGGCUACAAUUGAAGCAUUCCAUUAUGUACAUAAUGUUGUUAGCUUUAUUGAUUUGGCAGGCUUAUUUCCCAAGUCUUGUAAUCAAGUUGUUGGUUCCAAUAUCGUUGAACAUUCAUGACAUAUAGAUCUUCUAAUUUGCAAGCUCCUAUGACAUCUGUCAAACUCAACAAAGGUUCAUUCGUAUCUCAAAAAUUGUUAUAGAUUCUACUUUUUAUGCAAUAGAUUUCAAAAAAUUAAUUCUUGUAUGAUUUUUUGUAGGAAAAAAGAUUGAGCUACAUAUUUGACCUCAAAGCAGAGAGAGUUAAUCAUUUUGAUGAGGUACAUAUGGUAAGCCUUCAUCAACAACUGUCACAUUGUUCUUUAUGAUAAUUUGUGUUUUCUUUUAGUUCAUUCUUAUACAAUUCCUUUAAUAUCGAAAUUAAAAAACAAAGUACAUAAUUUAUUGAGUUGGCUGUUGUAACAUAUAGUUAUGACAUUAUUCAUGUUCCAAAAUAAUGGAAAGCCAAUCCAAGAUGAUUGAUCUAUAUGUUCAAGAUGCUUGAAAGGAGUGUCAUGAGUCUUUUUAUGGUACCAUUUGCAUAUUAGUGUAAGAGUUAUUAUUCUUAAACUAACUUUUUUCUUCUUUUUUUAUUUUUGCGGAAUUAUAGGUGAGAAUCAAGUUUAAUCGAACUAUCCUUGGGACUGAUUUUUACUGGAAGAUAACCUCAUAUUUCAUAAUGUCAUUCAUUGUUGGCAUACAAAAGCUCAAUCAUUAAACAACUUAUGAAAUAAAAGGGUGGUCGAUUAAGAGAGGAAGAAUGGAUUCAAAAGUUGAUCUCCACUUCCCACGCUUUUGAAGGCUUCAAUCAUGACUCAAAGAACAAGUUGGUUUAUUUAAAGGUUUUGGAAUCUCCUUGCAUGUUGUGGAAGUGUAUUUAGCUUCUAAAUAAAAGUAGAAUUCAAAUCCAGUAUCAACUUUCAAUUACUACAAAUUGCCACUCAAAUCUCCUUACAACCUUUCUAUUAGUUGUUUCUUUAUGCUUCUUCAAUGAUACUAUUAACAUUAUUUUAUGUUACUUUUGAUGGAAUCAUUUUCUAAUAUUUGUCUAUUUGGAUAUUGUAAUUUUUGGAUGAAACAUGAGUUGUUUCUUCUACUCUUCUACUCUAUUGUACUUCAUCUUUCUUACAUGGGCAUGCCCAAGAUUCUUGUGAAUCAUGUAAAUUUAGUGAUUGUUGCUUAUAUUUGAUAUUAAGAUUUGUUUAUAAUUCUUUUUUUAAUAUUUAUUUUAUUUACUUUCUAAUACUUUGUUUUUAUUGGGGGCUUCUCUCAGGUUUGUGAUCAAAGUGAGAUGCAUGAAAUUUUAAAAUCCAAAUUAGGAAAGAAAUCAGUCUUCUAUAAUAUAUAUUGCAAUGAGAAACUAUGUUCUUUAAAGCUUUGGUACAACAUUAUUUUUUUCAAGGAAAAUUUUGAAAUUUUGUGUUUUAGAACUUAUUUUUAGAAAAUGUGAAAAACAUAAUAAAAAUGUUUGGACUAUAAUUCAAGAGGGUUGUAGUUAAUCUAAGUCUAACUUAAUCUCUUUUUUUAAAAAAAAAAAUAGGUUUAUCAAGUUGUCCAGGGUAAAAAUCUACAUUUUUUUUAACUUUAUUUAAUAUAUUUAUAUUAAAAUUAAAAUAAUUAAUGAGACUAUUUCAAGAUAAUAAUUAAAAAAUUAAAAAAUAAAUUUAUAUGUCUUUUUAGAAAAAUGAGAUAAGAGUAAUUACAAUUUAAUAUUUUUUUCCUAUAAAAUUAAAAAAUAAAUCAAAUGAAUAUUAUUAGUGUUGAGUUAUGUAAAACCUAAUUAUACCAUACACUUUCACCAUAACAAUGACCAACCUUCGUGGUGCUAAGGUUAGUGAGUGUGGGGGUUCCAGACAUAAACCCCAAUAGGUUGAGAUUAGGUUGUGGCCACAUGGAAAAUUGUAUAGUAUCAUUAGGUUACACUCAAUUUAAUAAACCUAAUCUUAUUUUUCUAAACUUAGGUUGAAAUUAAAUUAGUUAGAAUAUAUUCAAGGUGGUCGAAUUAAUUAAGUCAUGUAAUUCGUAAUCCAUUCAUAAUGUUUUUUUUCUUAUAUAUUUAUACCAAAAUCUAAAUAGUAAGUUGGAUACAAUUACGAUCCAAUAACAAAAAUGUAAAAAGAAAUUUAUAUAUCCUUAUAAAAAAUUAAAAAGUUAUAUAAUAGAAUUAUAAUUUGAUAUUUUUUUUCUUAAAAAUAAAAAAGAGAAUAAAUAAAAUGAACACUUUUAAUGUAAGAUUAUAUAAAUUAUAAAUAAUAUAAAAUUAUUAAAUUAGAUUCAUCAUCCAAACCUUAGUAUGAGUGUAACUCAAAUUAAGUUCAAAUCGAAAAAAACUUUACCUAAACUCAACAACUUUAAAAAUGAUUAUCUGCACCCGUCUAAAAGUAGGAUUUUUUUAGAGUCCUAUUUCUCUAUUUUUAACUUAAUUUUAUUUUUUUUCAACGGAAUUAUAGAUAAGGAUCAAGUUUAAUCAAACUAUCCUUGGGAUUGGCUUUUACUGGAAAACAACCUCAUACUUCAUAAUGGCAUUCAUUGUUGACACACAAAAGCUUAAUCAUUAAACAAUUUAUGAAAUAAGAGAAUGGUUGAUUAAAAGAUGAAGAAUGGAUUCAAAAAUUGAUCUCCACUUCUGGCACUUUUGGAAGCUUCAAUCAUGCCUCAACGAACCAUUUGGUUUAUUUAAAGCUUUUGGAAUCUCCUUGCAUGUUGUGGAAGUGUAUUUAGCUUCUAAAUAGAAGUAGAAUUCAAAUCCAGUAUCAACUUUCAAUUACUACAAAUUGCCACUCAAAUCUCCUUACAACAUUUCUAUUAGUUGUUCUUUUAUGUUUCUUCAAUGAUACAAUUAGCAUAAUUUUAUGUUACUUUGAUGGAAUCAUUUUCUAAUAUUUGUCUAUUUGGAGAUUGUAAUUUUUGGAUGAAACUUGAAUCUUUUCUUCUAUUCUUCUACUCUAUUGUACUUCAUCUUUCUUACAUGCAUGCCCAAGAUUCUUGAAAAUCAUGUCAAUUUAGUGUUUGUUGUUUGUAUUUGAUAUUAAUAUUUGUUUAAAAUUCUUGUUUUUAAUAUUUAUUUUCUAAUACUUGGUUUGUUUUUGUUUUUAUAAGGGGCUUCUCUCAUGUUUGUGAUCAAAGUGAGAUGUAUGAAUUUGAAAAUCCAAAUUAGAAAAGAAAAUCAAUCUUCUACAAUAUAUAUAGCAAUGAGAAACUAUUUUCUUUAAGGGAGAAUUAUGUUUUGGGGGUAGAUGGACCCCCAAAUUAACAAAAGGUCCAUGUAACUCUUCAAAUUGAGCCCAAGACCCAAUGAAAGUAUGGAAAUUGAGUUGAAGGAUAUCAUCCUUCAGUAUUUCCAAAAAUACCAUUUGUUAAUUUUGAGAAAAAAAAUUAAUAUUUUUUAAAAAUACUUUUAUUUAAUUUAAUAUUUUUUAUUUAAUUUAAUAUUUUUAAAAAAUACUUUUAUGUAAUUUAAUAUUUUUUAAAAUAAUUUUAUUUAAUUUAAUAUUUUUAAAAAAAAAUUUAAUUUAAUAUUUUUGAAAAAAAAUUAUUUAAUUUAAUAUUUUUGAAAACUACUUUUAUUUAAUUUAGUAUUUUUGAAAAAAAAAUUAUUGAAAAAAAAUUAUUUAACUUAAUUUUAUAAAAUAUUUUAUAUGUGUUCUUAAAGGGUAUAUUUGUCCGUUACUAUUUCAUAUCCUUCAACUCAAUUUGAAGAGUUAUAUGGGCAUUUUGUUAAUUUGGAGGUCCAUCUACCCCCAAAAAUAAUUCUCCCUUUCUUUAAAGCUUUGGUACAACACUUUCUUUUUUUUUGGAAAUUUUUUAAAUUUAGUGUUUUAGAACUUAUUUUUAGAAAAUGUAAAAAAACAUAGUAAAAAUGUUAGGGCUAUAAUUUGAUAGGGUUAUAGUCAAUCUAAGUCUAAUUCAAUCGCAUUUUUUUAAAACAAGUUUAUCAAGUUGUUAGCAAUGAAAAUCUACAUUCUUUUUUAACUUUAUUUGAUAUAUUUAUGUUAAAAUUUAAAUAAUUAAUGAGACUAUUUCAAGAUAAUAAUUAAACAUAAAAAAUAAAUUUUUAUAUCUUUCUAGAAAAAUGAAAUAAAGUAAUUAUAAUUUAAUAUUUUUUCCUUAUUAUUAAAUAAAUUAAUUAAUUAAAUAUUAUUAGUGUUGAGUUAUGUGAAGCCUAAUUAUACUACACACUUUUCACCAUAACAAUCGACUGACCUUCAUGGUGUUAAGGUCGACAUGUGUGGGGGUUUGAGGCAUAAGCCCCAAAAGAUUGAGAUUAGGUUGUAAUAGUAGAGAAAAGUUUAUAGUAUGAUUAGGCUCCACAUAAUUUAACAUAAUCUAAUUUUAUUUUUCUAAACUUAGGUUAAGAUUAGAUUGGUUGGAUUAUAUUUGGUUUGGUCAAAUUGAUCGAGUCUUAUAAUUCAUAAUCCAUUAGCAAUGGUUUUUUAUUUAUUAAUUUUUGUUUAUUUAUACCAAAAUAUAAAUUGUAAGUUGGAUACAAUGUCAAAAUAAUAACAAAAAUGUAAAAAUAAAUUUAAAUAUCUUUAUAAAAAAAGGUUAUAUAAUAGAAUUAUAUUUGAUAUUUUUUUCUCAAAAAUAAAAAGAGAGAAUAAAUAAAAUAAAUACUUUUAAUAAUAAAUUAUUAUUAUUAUUAUUAUUAUUAUUAUUAUUAUUAUUACAAACUUAAUUCAAUUGCACUCAACAUGAUUAAGCCUUUUUAUUUUCAUUUUUUAAAAUAAUAAAUCGUUUUCACUUUAAUUUUCAAGCAAAGAUUACAAAAUUUGAACACCAUUAUAAGCAAUUUUUAUUUAACCCUUCAAUAAGAAAGAAAAUUAAUCUAACAAUUUUUAAGAAAGCUUAUUUAUGAACUUCUCAAAUUAAUUUUUAUUAUAUUCUUCUUCCAAUCUAAACCAGCUAAUAGAUGCCCUUUUAUCCAUAUAAUAUUUUACAUGAGAUGUUCUUCUUGAUGCUGAGGAGCAGCAGGGCCAAAGCCAUGAAUUGCAGCAAGGAGGAAUAGCAAGGCAGGUAGGUGACUUUAUUGUGGGUAUUGGGGGGUUUAGGCAAGACCACCCUGAUGCAUGAAAUUUUAAAAUAGAAAUUAGGCAAGAAAAUUUAGUCUCCGGCAAUAUAUAUAGCAAUGAGACACAUAGAUGGUUGUCUGGGGUUUCUGGUUUGUAGAGAGAGAAAGGGAGGUUUAUAGAGAGAGAAGAUCGACUAGGUUGGGGUUUGAAAUUGAAUUUUGGGCAGGAUCCAAAACAGAUGGUAGAGAUUGGAUCCUGGGGAUCUGACAAUGGAGUUUGGAGUUUGAAUUUGUCAUAGGCUAUAACACACUGGCAAUGUUAAAGCCCAAAUUUAAUGGGCUGGGAUAUGUACUUCUCACUUUUGGGCUUUGGUCCAACAGCCCAACUUCUUUUAUUUUUUAAAAAUUAAUUAAAUACGUGAUUAAACAUAUCCUUUUUUUUUUUUAUCUAUUUGAUUAAUGGGAUAUAAUAUAAUUCAUGGUUUGGGAUCUUUGGUGCUUAUCAAAUUUUGUUCUUGGAUUUUUUUUAAAGUGGGACAAGUAAGUACAUACUUUUUACUUGAGGGGUAACUAGCAACUUUUCCAUAAUUAAAUUUUACAUGACUAUAAUAUAUUUAUUGGAAAUAAUUUUUUCUCCCUAAAAUUUUUUAUUUAAUUGCUACAAAAUAAUUUUAAUUAUUGAAAUUAUUUUAUUGUUACUCUAAUUAAAUUACGGUGGGCUUUGGGUUUGGGUUUUGGACAAACCUAAGGCCAACUUAAACCUAAUAUAUAUUUUACAUAAAUUUCAAACUAUACGUAUAUGAUAGUUUUGUUAUUUUGAGUGUCAUAAGGGAAUGAUAAGAAGCUGAGCUUGAAUUGGAUAGCUUGGAUUGGAUUCGACAAAUGAUAAGAAGUCGAGAUUCACUUUCUUUUCCUUUUUCUAAUAUAUUUCUUUCACUUUUCCUUUUUAGUUUUUUUAAUAAAAUUUCAUCCUACCCCACUUUCAAAAAUAAAAAGUUAAAAAAUGACUGGCUUGAGACUGUUCAAAAUCUAAUUUUUUUUUUUUAAAGGUGAGGAAGAUGAGUUAUGCUUUCUUUGUACAAGCCCACUCUUCACGUAGUUCCUUUUAUGAUAUACUAUCUAAUACUUUUUUCAUUAGUUUCCAUCUCCAUUAUCUUAAAAAUUCAAAUACAAAUUAUCAAAUUUACAAAAGGUAUAAACAAUUGUGAAAUAAUAAGAUGUUACCAAUGCUACAACAAUAUCCACAAUGAUAAUACUUCGAGUACUAUAAAUUUAUUAGCUUUAAUUUUUUUGUUCUUUUUAAUUUGUAAAGAAAUGCGGUGAUAUUAUACAAGUCUUUUUGUAAGGUGACUAAGGUUUUUCACACAUGAAACUAUACCAUAAAUGUAUAAACUAUUUAAAUAUAAAAAUUAAGGAUUAUGUUAAGUUCUUGGAUAUUACUAAGAAAUUGACAAAAAAAAAAUAGUUAGAAAAAUGAUUAAUUUUUUUAUAUCUGCAUGUUAUAGAAAAAUAUGAUGAAAACAUAUUAAGAAAAAUAGGAGAAAAUUGCUAAAAGUUUUCCCGACCUUUUUCCUUAUAUAAAGGUGAGUAAAACUUGAUGAAAGUGUAUUUCUUAAAAUUUUAAUUUUUUAUUUUUCUCUCAACUUUUUCAUGAAUAUGUUAUUAACAUAAAAAAAAAUAUAGUAAAAGGAAAAUAUGAUUUUACAAAAUUUAUCCAAAGUAAAAAAAUAAACGAUGCAUAAUAAUUUUCUUUUUUCCUGGCUUUAUUCUUACAAUUUACUUUUGAUGGAAGUAAAUUAUUUUGCGUCAACUCAAAUUCAGCCUUUUCAAAAAGUAAUGGGAAUCCAAUGAAUUUUUUCAAAUUCAUUUUAAUUUAUGACCCACCAUGUGAAGGAGUAAUCAUUUUCUAGGUGAUAGGAUUCCAAAUCAAUUAUUUCAAAUUCACAUUGCUUUAUAGCCCACUUUUUCAAAAGUUGCUAUCAUCAUUUCCUUGCAGGCUCUUUGCCCUGUCUCCCACUAAUUCCUUGGGAAAGAACAAGACUUCUUUCUUCCAAGCAUGCAAAUUCCAAAAUGAUAUUAUCUACUAUUUUAAAUCUAAGAACCCUACCUAUAUAUAUGUGAUGGGAUCCACUACUUUUCAAGCAGGCUCCCAACUUCCAUGGAAACUCUAGGGCCUCUCGACAUCUUUCUAUACAUUUAUUUAUUUUUUAAAACUAUUAUUUUCAUAACAUUGCUUUAAAGAAGUUGUUUUUUUUUCCAUAUUUUUCUAAAAUAAUAGUAAAAAAGUUUUGAUAUACUAUCUAAUACUUUUUUCAUUAGUUUCCAUCUCCACUAUCUUAAAAAUUCAAAUACAAAUUAUCAAAUUUACAAAAGGUAUAAACAAUUGUGAAAUAAUAUGUUACCAAUAUCCACAAUGAUAAUACUUCAAGUACUAUAAAUUUAUUAGCUUUGAUUUUUUUUCUUUUUAAUUUGUAAAUAAAUGUGGUGAUAUUAUACAAGUCUUUUUGUAACGCGACCCCCUUCUCGCGGUUAAGGUAACGACUUCGGGCAUGGCCAGCUCCCAUAGUGUGACGGGCGGUGUGUACAAGGCCCGGGAACGAAUUCACCGUUGUAUGGCUGAUCGACGAUUACUAGCAAUUCCGGCUUCAUGCAGGCGAGUUGCAGCCUGCAAUCCGAACUGAGGACGGGUUUGAAUUCCCGAUAGAAAGAGAUUUCGCGAACGCAAAAGCCUUUAAUGCGGCCCGUCAUCCCUUCCUUUUGGAAAGCUUUCCAUUCUUCCAAGUGAUGAAGCAAGGGAAGGCAGUAGUGGGGAAUUUUCCGCAAUGGGCGAAAGCCUGACGGAGGAAUGCCGCGUGGAGGUAGAAGGCCCACAGGUCGUGAUUAGGAUCAGAAUGACAAAUACAAUAGAUUUUAAACUAUACCAUAAAUGUAUAAACUAUUUAAAUAUAAAAAUUAAGGAUUAUGUUAAGUUCUUGGAUAUUACUAAGAAAUUGACAAAAAAAAUUGUUAGAAAAAUGAUUAAUUUUUUUAUAUCUGCAUGUUAUAGAAAAAUAUGGUGAAAACAUAUUAAGAAAAAUAGGAGAAAAUUGCUAAAAGUUUUCCUGACUUUUUUCCUUAUAUAAAGGUGAGUAAAACUUGAUGAAAGUGUAUUUCUUAAAAUUUUAAUUUUUUAUUUUUCUCUCAACUUUUUCAUGAAUAUGCUAUUAACAUAAAAAAAAAAUAUAGUAAAAGGAAAAUAUGAUUUUACAAAAUUUAUCCAAAGUAAAAAAAUAAACGGUGCAUAACAAUUUUCUUUUUUCUUGGCUUUAUUCUUAUAAUUUACUUUUGAUGGAAGUAAAUUAUUUUGGGUCAACUCAAAUUCAGCCUUUUCAAAAAGUAAUGGGAAUCCAAUGAAUUUUUUCAAAUUCAUUUUAAUUUAUAACCCACCAUGUGAAGGAGUAAUCAUUUUCUAGGUGAUAGGAUUCCAAAUCAAUUAUUUCAAAUUCACAUUGCUUUAUAGCCCACUUUUUCAAAAGUUGCUAUCAUCAUUUCCUUGCAGGCUCUUUGCCCUGUCUCCCACUAAUUCCUUUGGAAAGAACAAGACUUCUUUCUUCCAAGCAUGCAAAUUCCAAAAUGAUAUUAUCUACUAUUUUAAAUCUAAGAACCCUACCUAUAUAUAUGUGAUGGGAUCCACUACUUUUCAAGCAGGCUCCCAACUUCCAUGGAAACUCUAGGGCCUCUCGACAUCUUUUUAUACAUUUAUUUAUUUUUUAAAACUAUUAUUUUCAUAACAUUGCUUUAAAGAAGUUUUUUUUUUUCCAUAUUUUUCUAAAAUAAUAGUAAAAAAGUUUUGAAAAUUAAUUUCCUUUUUCUCACUUUUUUUUCAAUGGAUAUCUAGACAAAAGAAAUUUUUUUUAUAAAUUUUUCUUCUCCUUUUCUUUUAUUUUUAAAAUUUUUUACUUUAUUUUUAUUUUUUUCUAACUUUCUGAAAAUUGUUAUAUAAGCAGCCAAACAAGACUUCUUCCUUCCAAGCACGCAGACCAUAUUCCACAAUAAUAUGAUAUAUUAUAGGAAACUUCUAUGGUGCUGAGGGAGGUACCAUACCUCAGAUUUUUUAUAGUCGUUGGAUGCAAGAGUUUAAAUCUCAGCCAUUGAAAAGAAAAAGAAAAAAAGGAAAAAGGAAAACUGGCUACCUGUUGUCUCCCCCUCUCAGGCCAUUUUCCCGUUUGUUCCCUCUUUCCCGUUUGUUCCCUCUCUUCCCUCAUUUUCUACCUGUUCUCUCCCCCUCUUAGCCCCUCUCUCUUCUCCUCCAUAGUCGAGCGUCUUCUCCUCUAGCUGUGUCUCGUGCUCUCGUCUCCAGCUGUGUCUCGUGCUCUCAUCUCCACACUCCUCCAUAGCCGAGCGUCUUCAGCCCCUCUCUUCUCCUCCAUAGCCGAGCAUCUUCUCCUCCAGCCGUGUCUCGUGCUCUCAUCUCCAGCUGUGUCUCGUGCUCUCAUCCCCACACUCCUCCAUAGGCGGCCGUCUUGUCCUCCAUAGUCGGUUGUGUCCCCGUGCUCUGAUCUCCACUCAUUCUCGACAGCCGAGUCUAGAAAUCCUAUCUUCGGAAGAAACGCAAGAGGCAAAUGCGAGACAAUGAAGAAAUGAGGGAAAGAAAGCACUGAAGAAGGAGAUAGAGACCCCUCUCACGAUUAAUCUUCAGUCGAGUUUCUGUUUUCUCCAUUUUUUAUCGAGUUUGCCGAUAUUUUCCUCUCUUCUCCAUACUCGACUCUUCUCAGGUAUCUCCAUCGACUGUUAUUUUCAGGUGCUUUAAGUUGUCUUUGUGUAUUGUUGGAUGUUUUUGUGUUAUUGGGUGUUUUCGGGUAAGAUAUUGUAGCUGUUCCGGGGGACAUCUUUUUGAGUUCUGGCUUUUUUAGUAUCCCCUUUGAUUAUGUCCAUAUUUAGUUUUCAUAUUUGGGGUUUUUUCGGGUUUUGAAGUAAAGAGUACGAUAUUCCCGCUCCCUCCCUCCUAUCCAUAACCCUUGUAUUUUGUUCAUAUUUUAUAUUUUGUUUAAGGGGUGUUUUUGGCUUUUAAAUUUCCUGGUUUGAAGACCCGAAUUGAAGACAUAGCUGGAAGAAAAAGAAGAAAAAAUGUGAGUAUUGAUAAUGUGUUUUACAAUAUUAUAGCCAUUAUAUUUCAUGCUUUUUGUGAGAUUUAUAGAUUGAUGACAUUAAUGAAAAUAAUGUGGUUAGAUCCAUAAUUGUAGAUUGAAAAAGAUUGAUAUGCUAAAUUUGUGACCAUUUAAAAUGUACAUAGAUUUAGGGAAGAUUUUGUAGUGGUGGUGAAAGUAUGUUUGAUUUAUUAUAUUUGAAAUCAUAUUAUAAAAAUUGACUUAAAUGCUUUGAUUUAAUUUUUAGGAGCGAACGCGAUGGACUUGAAGUUGUUAGAAAUCCAAAGAGGCCUAUCGGCGCUUGGAUACAUUACUAGUAAGGGAAAAUAGAAAUAUGUAAAAUAAUAUGUUUUUUAAUGUAUUUUUUGUGGUUGUUAUUGUUAAAUUUGUUUGAAAUUGUUUUGUAGUAAUGAUCAAUUAGCCAUGAUGAAAGAGAAGGAUAAAGGAGUGAAGAUAAAUGAUGAUGUAAGGAGUAAUUUUGCUAGUCUAAUAUAAUUACAUUUUAAAAUUAGAAUUUAAAUUAUGUGACCAAUUAAUGUAGUUGAGGAAAAAAUUGGGCAAGAAGUGGAAUGCACUUUCAAAAGUAGAAAAAGAAAAUUUCAUGGCAAAGUCCAAAGAAAGUUCAAAACAAUAUUCACUUCAAAAGGGUGUAGUUCCAAAGGUAAUUUUUUUUUGUAAUGAAUAUUUAAUUUCUUUACUUAUGUAUUUGUUGGAAAUUAUAUUAAUGUAAACAUGUUUGAUGUUUGUGUAUCUUUUCAGUUAUAUCUUCAGACUCGAUGCUCCCCCGAGCGAGUUAUUAGAGUGAUUGAAAAUUUAGAACCAAAGCAAAAGGCAGCCAUAGAAGAAAUAGGAUUUGGUAGCCUCUUGCAACUUCGAUGUAGGAAAAUUGAUCAUGGGUUAUGUCUUUGGUUGAUAAAUAGUUUUAAUCCGAACACUUAUAUGUUACAGUUGUAUAAUACUUGUAUCAAAUUAUCCCCCAUUGAUGUUGAAUUCAUUAUGGGAUUGAGGGCAAGAGGGUUCAAGAUUGGCAUGAACAAAGAUGUUGGUCAUAAGAAUGAUUUAUGUAAAAAAUAUUGUGAUAAAAAAGGGCGAUUGCCAUUAGUGAUGUUAGAAAAUCAAAUUAGGGAGGAUAAAGAGGGUGGAAACGAUUUUAAAGUUCGUUUUGUAUUAUUUGUGUUGGGUGCAUUAUUGUGCCCAACAAUGAAGCUUUUUGUGAAUCGCUCUUUCUUACAUCUUGUGGAAGACAUCGAUUAAUUAAAGAAGAUGAAUUGGGCAGAAUUUGUGUUGUCCUAUCUUGUGCACGGGAUUGAAGAGUUUAAGAAGAAACAACAAAGUGGGGUUUACGGUUGCUUAUUGUUUUUAAUGGUAAUUAAUUUACAUCAUAGUGAAUUACGAUUUUGUUUUAAUAUAAUUUAUGAACUAACUAUAUAUCUAUGUCAAAUAUACUCGUAGUUAUUCUACCACGAGCAUAUAUCGUUUGAAGAGAAAUUUCUACCGCUAUAUACUUGACUUUCUCCUCGGAUUACUGCUUGGGGAGAUGAUGAAGUAUUGGACAGGAAACGAAGAUUGAAAAAACUUAGUGGAUAUGCAAAUGAGAAUGUAAGUUAUAGUUUUGAAAGUCGUUUGCUAUUGAUUUAAGUUUUUAGUGAUUUAAAAUCUGAUAUGUAUUAUAUUUUGAUGAAUAUAUUGUAGCUCAAAAUAUGGGUGAUAGAAAAUGAGAUAAGGGAUUGCGUUGAUGGAAAUGCAACGAUAAUGGCGAGUGAGAAUGAGGACGAUGAGAAAUUUGUAUCCAAUCUAAACAAAGAUGUUAUUAAACGAAUAAGUGUUUUACAAUAUUCAUCGUGACUAUCUAUAUUAGCAUUGAACCUUUGUAUUAUGAUGUUAUUAAUCACGUUCGUAUAUAUCACUAGGUUGAUGGUGGGAACUUAAUGGAGAUGGAUAAAACCUUUCAACAAUUAAAGACACAUCUAAUUGAUAUGGCGUAUGGUGCAAGUAGUCGUAGUUGUGAUCAAAUUUUGGCUAAAUUUGAGGAGAAUUAUACUACAGUGAAAGGUCUCUUCCUUAGGUCAAGCGGAAAACCUUUGAGAAUGCACGAGGAAGGAACGAAGAAUGACAUGCUCUCAUGCGAGAGAAGUUUGGAAGAUACGAACAAUAUGAAUGUGAAUGAACAUUAUCUUCACACUUUGUCAAAUGACAAGUUAUGCACCGAGGACUUGAAUGAAAGAAUGAGAUGCAUGUGCUACNNNNNNNNNNNNNNNNNNNNNNNNNNNNNNNNNNNNNNNNNNNNNNNNNNNNNNNNNNNNNNNNNNNNNNNNNNNNNNNNNNNNNNNNNNNNNNNNNNNNNNNNNNNNNNNNNNNNNNNNNAAUACUAAAAAAUUCACAAGGGUACGAAGAAUGUGAGGAAUCCUCACAUUCUUCGUACACUCCCAAAUCUCCAUUUCUUUGGACUUUUUAAAAUUUUUUGGGGCUUCAUAUGGCUUGGAUGUUGCUUGAAUAGGUCCGUUACACUUAGAAGGUGGUCAAAUGAUAUCCGAAAAAAUCGAAAUCCAAAAAUACUAAAAAAUUCCCUCACAUUCUUCGUACCCUCCCAAAUCUCCAUUUAUUUGGACUUUUUAAAAUUUUUUGGUGCUUCAUAUAAUAGGUCCGUUACACUUAGAAGGUGGUCAAAUGAUAUCCGGAAAAAUCAAAAUCCAAAAAUACUAAAAAAUUCACGAGGGUACGAAGAAUGUGAGGAUUCCUCACAUUCUUCGUACCCUCCCAAUCUCCAUUUCUUUGGACUUUUUAAAAUUUUUUGGGGCUUCAUAUGGCUUGGAUGUUGCUUGAAUAGGUCCAUUACACUUAGAAGGUGGUCAAAUGAUAUCCGGAAAAAUCAAAAUCCAAAAAUACUAAAAAAUUCACAAGGGUACGAAGAAUGUGAGGAAUCCUUACAUUCUUCGUACCCUCCCAAAUUUCCACUUCUUUCGACUUUUUAAAAUUUUUUGCGCCAUCAUAUGGCUUGAAUGUUGCUUGAAUAGGUCCGUUACACGUAGAAGGUGGUCAAAUGAUAUCCGUAAAAAUCAAAAUGGAAAAAUACUAAAAAAUUCACAAGGGUACGAAGAAUGUGAGGAAUCCUCACAUUCUUCGUACCCUCCCAAAUCUCCACUUCUUUGGACUUGUUAAAAUUUUUUGGGCCAUCAUAUGGCUUGAAUGUUGCUUGAAUAGGUCCGUUACACUUAGAAGGUGGUCAAUGACAUCCGGAAAAAUCGAAAUCGAAAAUACUAAAAAAUUCACAAGGGUACAAAGAAUGUGAGGAAUCCUCACAUUCUUCGUACCCUCCCAAUCUCNCUUCUUUGGACUUUUAAAUUUUUUGGACAUCAUAUGGUUGGAUGUUGCUUGAAUAGGUCCGUUACACUUAGAAGGUGGUCAAAUGAUAUCCGGAAAAAUCAAAAUCCAAAAAUACUAAAAAAAUUCAAAAGGAUACAAAGAAUGUGAGGAAUCCUCACAUUCUUCAUACCCUCCAAAAUCUCCAUUUCUUUGGACUUUUUAANNNNNNNNNNNNNNNNNNNNNNNNNNNNNNNNNNNNNNNNNNNNNNNNNNNNNNNNNNNNNNNNNNNNNNNNNNNNNNNNNNNNNNNNNNNNNNNNNNNNUCAAAUGAUAUCCGGAAAAAUCGAAAUCCAAAAAUACUAAAAAAUUCACAAGGGUACGAAGAAUGUGAGGAAUCCUCACAUUCUUCGUACCCUCCCAAAUCUCCACUUCUUUGGACUUUUUAAAAUUUCUUGGGCCAUCAUAUGGCUUGGAUGUGUGCUUGAAUAGGUCUGUUACACUUAGAAGGUGGUCAAAUGAUAUCCGGAAAAAUCGAAAUCCAAAAAUACUAAAAAAUUCACAAAGGUACGAAGAAUGUGAGGAAUCCUCACAUUCUUCGUACCCUCCCAAAUCUCCACUUCUUUGGACUUUUUAAAAUUUUUUGGGUCAUCAUAUGGCUUGGAUGUUGCUUGAAUAGGUUGAUUCCACUUAGGCGGUGUUCGAAUAAGUCCCGAAAAAUUAAAAGCUAAAAAUACUAAAAAAUUAGAAAAGGUCCGAAGAAUGUGAGGAUUCCUCACAUUCUUCGUACCGUCCCAAAUCUUCACUUAUUUGAAGUUUUAAAAAUUUUGUUGGACUUCAUAUGCCUUGGAUAUUGUCUAAAUAGGUUGAGUCCACUUAGGUGGUGUUCGAAUGAGUCCUGGUAAAAUUAAAAGCCAAAAAUAUUAAAAAAUUAGAUAAGGUACACAGAAUGUGAGGAAUCCUCACAUUCUUCAUACUCUCCCAAAUCUCCACUUCUUUGAAGUUUUAAAAUUUUUUUGGACUUCAUUUGCCUUGGAUAUUGUUUAAAUAGGUUGAUUCCACUUAGGCGGUGUUUGAAUGAGUCCUGGAAAAAUCCAAAUCCAAAAAUAUUAUAAAAUUGGACGGGGUACGAAGACUGUAAGAAAUCCUCACCAUUUUCCGCUUGUAUGAGGGUGUGAAAUGGAUUCUUCAAAAUUCAAAAUGGAAAUAUACGAAAAAAUAUUGUGAGGCGUUUUGAUUUCCAUAUGGUUAGUAAUUAUACAUUUUUCGUAUUUUCAAUAUUUCAAUUAAUUUUUUUGUGUAAUUCAAUUUAAACGCUAAGAAAUAAUUUGGUCAUAUAUUAUCAAUUAAUAAUUAGUACACAAUUAAUUUAAUAUAAAUUUAAUAUUUAUAUUUUAUAUCAUUUAUUUAUAUUUUUUCUUUUUUUUUCACUUCAUAAACAAAUUAUAUUGCUUUUCACACUUCAAAUAUUUUUCAAAUUUUGUCAACAAAUUAUUUGAUGUUAAAAUAAAGUAUAUUUACUUUUCCUUAAUUUAUAAAUUUUAUCACCAAAUUAGUUUGAAUUUUUUUUAUUUAAAAUUUAAUUUUUAUCUUGGGUUUAAUCACUUUAUAUUACAAAAAAAAAUGCUAUUUAUUUUUUCAAAUUUCUCUUUAUUUUUCUGUUGCACAAAAAAAAUUCCCCAAACAAAAUAAUUACAUUAAACAGGAAUUUAUAAUUGGUUGUUGUAAUGGAUGUAAAAAUGUGUGUUGCAUGGGAUUAAUUCCCAUGGCAACCGGUUACCAACCUGAAGAAUUGGUUUUGUAUAUUAUUUUUCCAUGCCAUGUGUCUUCAUCUUGUGAGUCCAAAAAAGUGGGUAUGGUACCGAAAAACCACUUUUCGGUACCCUAGCAUAACCCUAUAUUAUAUAAGCAAGCAUGCAGACCAUGUUCCACAAUAAUAUCAUAUAUUAUAUAAGCAGCCAAACAAGACUUCUUCCUUCCAAGCAUGCAGACCAUAUUCCGCAAUAAUAUCAUAUAUUAUAUAAGCAGCCAAACAAGACUUCUUCCUUCCAAGCAAGCAAACCAUAUUCGACAAUAAUAGUUAAUAUUAUAUAAGCAUAAGUUCUUCUAUGUUUCCUUCUUCAUUGACGAGGUUGACAUGAUUUUUUAUGUUUUUUGUUGAGAUUGUAAUUUUUAGAUUAAACAUGAAAUGUUUUCUUACAUUCUAUUUACUUUUCUUCACUAUUGGUAGCAAAUUUUAUUUUUCUAUCCCGAUGGAAAUACCUAAUAUUGUUAUGAAUCAUGAAAAAUCAUAUCAAUCUCAUAUUUGUUGUUUGUGCUUGAUAGUAGGAUUUUCUUAAAUUUUGCAUUUUAAAUAUUUUUUUUUGGACUUCCCUCAUGUCUAGUACCCUACUUAAAAAUAAAAUAAAAUAAAAUAAAAAUAAAAAACAAUUAUUAACUUAAAAUUCUUCCAUAUUUAACCAUUUUUAAAAUGCGAGAAUUAAGCAAAUUGAGUAAUAUUCUCUUUGUUAGUUUUUAAGUGCUAAUCAAUUGAAGGUAAUCAUUCGGAAGGGGAGUGAAGUGGGGAUGGUCACUUUUUCAAAAUUUAAUAAUUAUAAAUACACAUAAAAUAUAAAUAAUAAUAUAAUAAAUCAAUAUAAGGAUAAUUUUCAAAUAAAUAAAGUAUGGAGGGGGACAUGCAAAUACUAAUUUUUAUAAUGGUUUAGCGUAACUUGACUUACACUUAUAUUCACCCUCCUCAAAUUCCAACCGAGUGAAUAUUCAACUAAUAAGGCUUCCAACUAAGCCUUCAAACUUAACCCAAUAAGAUAUAAUAUGCAAAGAAAUAUUGAAGUAAUAAUACUAAACAAAUCUCUUUAUAAAGUAGUUAGGAUUUCACAGAUGUACUAUUCGCAAUAAUAUUAUAACAUUGUAGGAAAAAAUUAAGGGAUUUUCAAUAGAUAAUUCUCAAAAACAAAGGUGAUUAAUUGUGUUUACAAGAAAAAAAAAUUAUUAUUUCUCUUCAAAAAUGAGCUUAACAAGGGACCCUUUUUUUUUUUGUCAAAAUUAGAAUAGAGUUUGAACACAUUAUUUGAAUCAACAUCUUUCCAAAAGUCAAGAGUGAUGGAAGGCAAAACCCAUCACUUGGUUGGCUGAUUCUUACCUAAUCAAAUGAACUACUCUUAUACAUUGUUUCUAGAAAGAAGUCUAAGAAAAUGUAUGGCACAAUGCAUGUGAUGGGAUCCACCACUUCUAGAGCAAAGUCUCAACUUCCAUGUGAACUCUAAGACCUCUCAAAAUCUUUUUUUUUUUUAUUAUUAUAUUUUUAAAUUAUUAUUUUCACAACAUUAAUUGCUUUAAUAUUUAAUGUUCCUUUCUCCUCUUUUUCUUUGAUAAUAGUGAAAUAUAUAUAUGAAAGCAUGUCUUCGUCAAUAAUUUAACUUUAGUUUUUCCAUUUUUAUGGAUAUCCAAAUAAUAAAAAAAUUAUGAUUUUUUGUUUCUCUCUUUUUCCCUAUAAUUUUUUAAUUUAUUUUUAUUUUCUCUAACUUUCUGAAAACAAAAUAUAACCUAAAUUUUUAUAUAGUCAAUUUGCAGCUAUGGGCAUAUGUCUUGUUUUAGAGUUUUUUAUGACAAUAUUUAAAUUAGCCUUGAAAUUUGGAAGUUAAUCCUAAAUUUUAGGUUGCGAAAGACCACAUUUUCUAUAAGCCCAACUAAAUAGAAACACAAAAAUAAUUCAUAUAGGUUCACUCAAAUUGAAUAAAACUCAUAUUUAAAAUAAGUUGAAUAAAAAAAACUUAAAUACAAUUGUCAUCACAAUAUUACAAAAAUGAGCUUAACAAGAGACUCUAUUUUUUCUUUUUCAAAAUAAACAAAUUUAAGAAGGAGAUUUAAUGCAUUAUUUGAAUCAACAUGUUACCAAAAAUUAAAAUCAAAAAUAAAAAUACAAAGAAUAAAAAGUUAAGAGUGAUGGUACACAAAACCCCACUAUUUGAUUGGUUGGUUUCUAUCUAAUCAAAUGCAUUAUUGUUGGGAUAAAAGAACCCUACCGGUAUGUGUAACGCCCAAGUUUUCAUUUUAAAGGGUAAUUUAGGAAAUUCUUAAUAAUGAUAUUAAAUUAAUUAAUUAAUUAAUUUAAUAAAAUGGAAGAGGGGUGAAAAGGUAAUUUUACGAAUAAUACCCUAGGUAUAAAUAGAAAAUUAUCUUCUUCCUGUUCUUUUUUGAAUCAUAUUCCUGUUCGCAGAGAAUUUCUAGAGAACGUGAAGUUAAGAUCAGAUUUCAAGGUUUGAAGAACAAACCUCUAUAGGUAAGUUUCUAACCUCUAUAUUAUUAUUUUAGAUUCAUUAGUUAAUUUCAAGCACAUUAGAUAUAUUUUUUUUGGAAAACCCCAAAUCUAGAUUAGGGUUAGAUUAUUUUUUUUUUAAUUCGUUUUAAUAUUAAAUAGUGAAAAUUUAAUAUUUUGAUUUAUUAUUGGAAUUGGGGAGAUCUUAAGUUUUUUUUUAUUAGAAAAAAAGAAAAUUCCUAUGAAAAUUUCGAUUUAGAUUAGGGUUAGUUUAUUAUUAUUAUUAUUAUUAUUAUUUCGUUUUAAUAUCAAAAUAGUAAAAAUUUAAGAUUUUGAUUUAUUAUUGGAAAUUGGAAAUUCUUAAGCUUUUAGAAAAAAAAAAAAAAAAACCUGGAAGAUGCGUGUGCACACUGUAGAAUUGGAGAAUGGUUUAAGGAUUAAAAGAAAAAAAUAGAGGACGCGUGUGCUCACUGGAAUUGGAGAAUGAAAAAAAAAUAAUAUAUUAUAUAUAUGGGUGUGGGUGUGUGUACGGAUGGAGGGAUGGGUGGUGUUUGGUAGUUAAUGUACAUAUAUGUAUAUAUAUUAUUAUAUUGACAAUGGAUAAAGUUUAUGUUUAAAAAAAAAAAAAAAGAGAAUAGAAGUUUUAAAUAAAAGAAAGUAAAGUUUUUUUUGGUAUUAUAAUUAUACUAAUAAUGAGUAUAAGUUAAUAAAUAACAUAGAAAUUAAUUAGUGAAAUAAAUUAUAGUUUAAUUAAAUUAAGUUGUGUCCCAAAAAAAAAAAAAAUUAAUUUGAAUACCUAAAAUUUUAGGAUUGACAAACCUGUAAUUUUAGAUAAAUAGUAAUGGUUAUUUCUCUUAUAUUUGUUAGGUGAAGAGUAGAUUUUCAGGAUUAUUUUUCUCCAAAGUUUUUGAGGACUUCUUUUGAGGUAAGGGAAGUUAAUGUAAUAUUUAUAAAAUUAAAUUAUUUCAUAUGUUAUUUUGAAUUGUGGAAAAUAAAAUGAUAUUUUGUUACCAUGCAUGGAUCAAAUUGUUUUGCACUAAAUGUUAUGUUGGAAUAUUUUGUUUUAUUUAUGACACAAAAUAUGGAGAUAUUAUGUUGUGUAAAUUUGAAUACUUGAACAAAAACAUCACUCUGGUUUAUUUGGCCCUUGUCAACGGGAUAUAAUAAUUGACUAUUUGGCCCUAUCAACGGGAUAUAAUAAUUGACCUUUACAUUUCAUGGUGGGAAUGUAAUUGAUUUGGACCCCAGCCUCUAGGGGUUUGGUUAGAGGUUACUAGUACUAGUAGCGUUUGGUUCCGUCCACCAGGAACAAUUUGAGGCUAGCCACCCAUUUGAAAAGUCCCACCUAACUGGGCAUUUGAUAUUUGAUAACCAGAGUAAUGAAACUUGAAUGAAUUUGAUUGAAUCUUAUGUGAAAGUGUUUGAAUUUGAUAUGAAAUUGGUUGGUUGAAUUUUGAAUAUAUUGGUAUUUUUGGAACUCUGAUAUUUGAUAAGAAAAAAAAAAUUUAUAUCUCCUAUUUGAAAUGAAAAUAUUUGAUCCAUGAAUUGCAUUAAUAUUCCUUAUUGGGCUGUGAGCUCAUUCCCAAUUGUUGAAAAUUUUCAGGUACUCUUAGUUCGGGUGAGGAGUGAUGGCUAGGCUGAAGAAUGGUCAUCAUUAGGAUUUGACUUAGGAUUUUAUGUUGGAUUUUGUUUAACUGUUAGUUAUGUUCAUUUGGAUCAUUUGAUAUUUGAAAGUUAUUUGGAAAUUGAAUUUUGAGGAAUUUAGAUUUUGUUCCGCUACUCUGAACAAGUAUUUGGUAAUUGGUAACAUCUAGUUACAAUAUGAUUGUUCGGGUCAGAUUAUACUUUAAGCCUUCGGGUUUGAGGUGUGAAAUGACCGUCACGCCCUUGGAGUGGGUCUUGGGGCGUGACAGUAUGUGAUGGGAUCCACUACUUUUGGAGUGAACUCCUGUAAACUCUGGCUGCUCAACAUUUCUUUAUCCUUAUUUUAAAAAAUUUAACUAUUAUUUUCACAACAUUGCUUGAAGGAAGUUGUUUUUUUUCAUAUUUUUCUUAGAUAAUAAUAAAAAAGUUUGGAAAAAGUUCCUUCCUCAAUAGUUCAUUUUUCUUUAAUUUUCUCAUUUUUCCUUUUCAUUAUUUAAUUUUGAUGAAAACAAAAUGAUAGCAUCCAUCGGAACACCAUUUUUAUGUCUAUUUGUCUUAGGGUAAGUGCUAUUGCAUUUCUAUGUAUAUUUGGUUUUAUUUCAUAUGACUCAAUUUACAUAAAACCUAUAGUUAAAAUAAGUUGACCAGAAAAAAAGGGGGUAAACACAAUUGCUAUCAUGAUAUUACAAAAAUAAAGUUUAACAAGUGACCUUAUUUUUUCUUUGUCAAAUUAAGAAAAGAUAUUUAGUGUAUUAUUUGAACUAAUCAAAUGCAUUAUUGUUAGGACAAAAGAACCCUAUAUGUGAUGGGAUCCACUACUUUUUGAGCUGACUCCCAACUUCCAUGUAAAGUCUAGGGCCUCUCGACAUUUUUUUAUGCAUUCACUUGUUUUUAUUUUUGUUUUUAUUUUUAACUAUUAUUUUCACAACAUUGCUGUAAAGAAGUUGUUUUUCUUUUCAUAUUUUUCUUAGAUAAUAGUAAAAAAGUUUGAAAAAAGUGGCUUCUUCAACAGCUUAAUUUUUUUUUUCUCACAUUUUCAAUGGAUAUCUAGACCAAAGAAAUUCUUUUAUAAAUUUUUCUUCUCAUUUUCUUUUAUCUUUUAUCUUUUUUAACAUUUUUUUUCAACCUUUUAAAAACUAAAUAUAACCUAAAGAAAAUAAUAAUAAAUAUAAAAACAAAUACAUAAGGAAAGACUUUUAACAUAAUUUUUUAUUAUAAAAAUCAUUGAAGUGCACAAAUAAACCUAUAUAUAAAUGAUUGGGAAGCUGGAAUCCUUUGUUCUCAAGAAUCUUUAAUGAUUGGGAAAUGGAAGAGGUGGAGGGCUUGCUUCAAAAAAUACACCCUCUGGUUUUGCAUAGUGAUGUGGAGGAUGUUUUAAGCUGGAAGAUUGGUAAGAAUGACUCUUUCUCUGUUAGAUCUUGAAAAUGUGAAUCUCAAUAAUGAACUACACCUAGAGGGGGGUGAAUAGGUGUUGUAGAACAAUUUUAAAAUUCUCCCAAUAAAGAUUACCUAACCUUAAUAAAACAUCCACAAGCAACAAUGUAUGCAUCAACACUCUCCCAACAAUUUAUAAAUGCAAAACACAUGCAAAUGCUUCAACACUCCUCAAAAAUAAAACAAAAUAUAGAGUGAGAGAAAGAGACACCAGAUUUUUAACGUGGAAAACCUCCGAAGAGAUCAAAAACCACGGGCCUAUCACCGAUUGAAAACUCCACUAUGAAGAAUAAAAAACUGAGUACAAGGUUUUACCUAGCUCAAGCCAACCAAUCCUUCCCGGAAUACUUGACUAGUACCUUCAUUUUCAGCUUCUCCUUUUGGAGCACACUUGGAGUCCGCACCAAGCUCAAUCUCGGCCUCUUCUUGAAUCCACACAAGAAGAAAAUGGGUUUUUGCACAACCCAAAUAGAAUGAGAGAUUUAGAUGUGAAUGAAAGAAUGAAUCAACCCAUUUAUUGCUCAAGAAAAUCCAUUGAAAACAAGUUUUGAAAACAUUAAGAGAAGUUGAUUUUCUUUGCAAUCAAAAACCCCAACUUAGGAAAGCAAAAAUGAGAAAUGAAGAACACUUGGGAGUGUGGCUGCUCUCCCCACGUUUUCAGCAGUCUCUCUACACAGAAAAUGAGAGAAGAUUGGGUUUUAAAGUGUAAAAAGAAACCCUUAAUCUAAUGGCUGAGAUUUGAUCAAAAAAACAUUAGUUGGAUAGAUCCACCCCUACACCUGGAUCGAUCCAGAAACAGAGGAAUAAAAGCCUUGCACCAAAAACCAUUUUUUCCAACUUUCUAACACAUUUUAAAGAUUAAAAACCGGGUUGAUUCACACCCAAUCACUCCACACUCGACUACAUACCUUGGCCUCUUAGCAAAGUCUUAGUCUUCAAAGUCAAGUAGUCCGAAUAGGAAUAGGAAAGCCGAGUUAGGGGACACUUAGGAAUUUUGUCCGGAAUUGCCAACCUAGCUAAACACUCACAGAUCUCUCUACCAAUCCCUCACAACUACCUCUAGUGAACCUUUUCCUUGGAGCAUCAUUUGGAGAUCUUGGGCACCCGUGAGAGUUAGUUUUUUUGCUUGGGAAGCGUCUUGGAACCGAAUUUUGACCACUGAUCAGCUUAAAAGAAGGGGCUGGAUACUAUCAAAUAGAUGUUAUUUGUGUAAAAUGGAAGAGGAAACUAGCGACCACUUGUUCCUAUUCUGCAAGAAGGCUAUAAUGUUAUGGAGCUUGCUUUUCUCCCUUUUUGACGUGCAGUGGGUCCUACAUUCCUCAAUCAAAAGGAAUUUGAUAGCUUGACAUGGUGCUUCUAUGAGCAAGGGAAAGGAAAAAGCUUGGAGGGUUGCUCCCCUUUGUUUAAUGUGGAUAUUAUGGAGGGAGAGAAAUGAAAGAGUGUUCAAUAACAAUGAACGUACCGACCAAGCUCUAAAACUCUCUUUUUUGUACACUUUUGUGAAUUGGGGUAGGGUAUAUUUAGAGAAUCAUUCUUUGUCAUUGUUUGACUUUAUAGAAUGACUUUUGUCUAGAUAAAAUAAAGGUUUUUCUUUUUGGCUUAAAUCCUUGGGCGUUACUUGUAUACUUCGUGUCUACUCUUUUCGCCUUUCUAGGCUUUUAUAAUACAUCCUCUUAUUUGCCUAUAAAAAAAAAACACCUAUAUAUAAAUGAACUUUCAUUGUUUUAAACGUUAAUUAUUAUUGAUAUAACAAAAUGUAGUAUAAAGAAAAUAUAAUUUUACAAAAUUUAUCCAUUAAUCCAAAUGAAUAAGAAUUAAAUGGUGUAAAACAAUUUUCUAUUUUUGAUUAUUUUAUUUUAUUUUAUCUCAUUAUUAAAUUUUGAUGGUAGAAAAAUGGUGGCAUCCAAGAGAACACUAUUUCUAUGUCUAUUUGUUUUACGGUAAGUAAGUGUUAUUAGUGCAUUCCAAAUAAAAUAUAAAAAAAUUUAAUAAUGUUUAUUGCUAGAUUUAAAUUUGACAUAACCAAUAUGCAGUUAUAAACAUAUCUUUAUUGUUUUAGAACUUUUUAACCUUGAAAUUUUGAAUUUAUCCUAAAUUUUACAUGGGGUAAGACUAUAUUUUCAUAAGCUCAAUUAAAUAAAUGCACCAAAAUUUUUUGUUUGAGGUUAACUCAAAUUCAACUAUUUAAAGAAGUAACGGCAAUUCAAAUAAUUUUUUCCAAAUUCAUUUUAAUUUAUAACCCACCUUCUAAAGGAGUUCUCGAUUUCUACCAAUUACUUCAAAUUUACCUUAUUUUAUAUCCCAUAUUUUCAGAAGUCAAUUUACUUCCAACCACACAGAUCCCACGAUAAUAUUAUAUGUCAUCUUAAAUCCAUAUCCAUUUGAUUGGUAGGAUAUUAUCUCUUCAUUUUUAUUUUUUUUUUAAGUUGACGUUGACUCAAGUCAAUCCCCUCUCUCCAUAUAUAGAUGUAUCAGUCUGAGAUCACUUACAGCCUUCUGAUCGUCUCUCAUCGUCUCUCUAGCUACACUUCCGUUCCAUCUACUUUCCAUCCUCUGCAGUAUUAUUUUCUUUGCUAUUUCAAAUAUGGCUGAACAAAUUCCAUUCGGUAUUGCUGAGAACCUUUUGAUGAAGCUGGGCUCUGCUGUUUUCCAUGAAAUUGGAUUAAUGUAUGGUGUCCGAGGUGAGCUGAGUAAGCUUAAGGAGAAACUGUCCACCGUCGGAGCUGUGCUUCUUGAUGCUGAGGAGAAGCAGGAGAGCAGCUGCGCAGUAGCAGAUUGGGUCAGGAGGCUUAAAGAUGUUGUGUAUGAUGCUGAUGACUUGUUGGACGACUUUGCAACCGAAGACUUGAGGAGAAAGACUGAUGAUCGUGGAAGAUUUGCGGCACAAGUGAGUGACUUCUUCUCACCUUCGAAUCAACUUGCUUUUCGAUUUAAGAUGGCUCAUGGAAUAAAGGCUAUUAGAGAAAGGCUAGAUGAUAUUGCAAAUGAUAUCUCCAAGUUCAAUUUAAUUUCCAGAGUUAUGUCUGAUGUCCGGGUAAGGAAUAAUGGGAGGGAGACGUGCUCUGUUGUGGAGAAAUCUCAUAAAAUUGUGGGUAGAGAAGAAAACAAAAGGGAGAUAAUAGAGUUGUUGAUGCAAUCAAGUACUCAAGAAAAUCUGUCAAUGGUUGUGAUUGUAGGCAUGGGGGGCUUAGGCAAGACCACCCUUGCUCAGUUGGUAUACAACGACCAAGGGGUGGUAAGCUAUUUUAAUCUUAGCAUGUGGGUCUGUGUUUCCGUUGAUUUCGAUGUUGAAGUACUCGUUAAAAACAUCUUAAUGUCUGCGACUAAUGAAGAUGUGGGAAACCUACGCUUAGAACAAUUGCAAAAACGUCUGCAAGAAAAGUUAGAUGGGAAGAGGUACUUGCUUGUGUUAGAUGAUGUCUGGAACGAGGACAAAAGGAAAUGGGGUCAGUUCAUAACCUUAUUGCCUGUUGGUGCAAAUGGGAGUAAAAUCUUGGUGACCACUCGAAGCACAAGAGUUGCAUCAGUUAUAGGAAUUGAUUCCCCAUAUAUUGUGGAAGGUCUUAAAGAUGACGAGUCUUGGGAUUUGUUUGAAAGUCUUGCAUUUAAAAAGGCAGAAGAGCAAAUGCACCCAAACCUUGUAGCCAUAGGAAAAGAUAUUGUAAAGAUGUGCAAAGGAGUUCCUCUUAUCAUCGAGACUUUAGGCAGAAUGUUGUACUUCAAAACCCAAGAAAGCCAUUGGUUGAGCAUUAAAAAAAAUAAAAAUCUUGUACAUCUUGGAGAAAAAAAUGAUAUUUUACCGAUAUUGAGGUUAAGCUAUGACAAUCUCCCCGUCCAUUUGAAACAAUGUUUUGCCUAUUGUGCAUUGUUUCCCAAAGAUUAUAUAAUUAAAAAAAAGUUGUUAGUACAACUAUGGAUGGCACAAGGUUACCUUCAACCAUAUGAUGAGAAUAUAGAUUUAGAGGAUGUUGGUAAUCAAUAUUUUGAAGAUUUAUUGUCAAGGUCAUUGUUUCAAAAAGUUGAAAAUAAAUAUGAUAACAAUAUGUUAAGUUAUAAAGUGCAUGACUUAAUUCAUGAUCUUGCACAAUCCAUUGUAAAUUCGGAGGUUAUCAUUGUUACUGAUGAUGUGAAGAUCAUUUCACAAAGAAUUCAUCAUGUGUCAUUAUUUACAAAACACAAUGAAAUGCUCAAGGGUUUAAUGGGCAAAUCCAUCAGGACUUUCUUUAUGGACGCCGGCUUUGUGGAUGAUCAUGAUAGUUCUAUAACUAGACUCCUUUCAAGCUUAAAAGGUUUGCGGGUAAUGAAGAUGAGUUUCUUCUUACGACAUAAGGCUCUGUCAUCUUUAGGAAAACUAAGUCAUCUAAGAUAUCUUGAUCUUUCUUAUGGGUGGUUUGAAAACCUCCCAAAUGCUAUUACAAGAUUGAAGCAUUUACAGACAUUGACGCUUUUCAAUUGUAUACGUCUAAAAGAAUUGCCGAGAAAUAUGAAAAAAUUGAUCAACCUGAGGCAUCUUGAGAUUGAUGAAGUAAAUAAAUUAAGUUAUAUGCCACGUGGUUUGGGAGAUUUGACUAAUCUUCAAACCUUGCCAUUAUUCUGGGUAAGGAAUGAUGGUGGGGAAUCCAGGCACAAGAGAAUGGGUAGGUUGAAUGAACUGAGAUUCCUUAACAAUCUCAGAGGACAACUACAAAUUAAAAGGCUUUCAAAUGCAAGGGGCAGUGAAGCUAAGGAAGCCAUGUUGGAGGGUAAACAGUACCUUGAGUGCUUGAGAUUAGAUUGGUGGAAACUACCAGCUACCCAGGAGAGUGAGGAGGCAAUGUUAGUAAUGGAAUGCCUGCAACCACAUCCAAAUCUGAAGGAGCUCUUCAUAGUUGAUUACCCAGGUGUGAGAUUCCCAAAUUGGAUGAUGAAUGAUGGGUUGGAUUUGCUGCUCCCAAACCUAGUCAAAAUACAAAUAUCGUCUUGCGACAGAAGCAAAGUUCUGCCACCUUUUGCACAACUCCCUUCUCUUAAAUAUCUAGAACUUUCCAAUCUAAUAGCUGUGGAGUGCAUGAUGGAUUACCCUUCAUCAGCAAAGCCAUUCUUCCCAUCUCUGAAGACACUCCAACUUUCUGAUUUGCCUAAUUUGAAGGGAUGGGGAAUGAGGGAUGUAGCAGCAGAGCAAGCUCCUUCAUAUCCUUAUCUUGAGGAUCUACGGCUGGACAACACCACUGUGGAGCUAUGCUUACAUUUGAUCUCUGUCUCUUCUUCAUUGAAGUCUGUGUCUAUUAGACGCAUAAAUGAUCUGAUAUCUCUGCCAGAGGGGCUUCAACAUGUUUCCACCCUACAAACUCUCACAAUUAGGGGUUGCUCUAGUUUGGCAACUUUACCAGACUGGAUCGGCCGCCUCACAUCACUUUCAGAGCUUUGCAUUGAAAAGUGCCCUAAUUUAACAUCACUGCCAGAAGAGAUGCGAUCCCUCCGCCAUCUACACACACUUAAAAUCAAUGGAUGUCCAUACUUAUAUGAAAGAUGCCAAAAGGAAACUGGUGAAGAUUGGCCUACGAUUUCUCAUAUUCCCGAAAUUAUCAUUCGGCGAUGGUGAAGCAGAUAUGUGAAGCUUGCCUUGUCUCUUUAAUGAAUGCGUCAUCCACAAUAAAUUUCGGUAUGCAAUCCAAUUUCUAGUUGUUUGCUGUGCUUUUUGUUAUUUGUUCGCACUUCACCUGUUAUAUAAAAUGCUUAGCUUACCAAAAUGCCCUGUUACUCGGUGUUUGCAGUUUACACAUUUGCAUUUUACUGCCGUCGAAUGUAUUGAGGUGAACCCCCACCACAUGUUGAAUUGAUUGGUAGUGUGAAGAAGACCAUUGAUGUAUAUAGGUGUAGAGUAAGGUGUUUUUUCCAUAGGGACUGCCACAAGCAAUUUAAUUUCUUUUUUUUUUUUUUUUGAAUGUUGAUUCUUAUAAGAUAGAACCAAAAGCAUAAAAUAAAAUCUAAUGCUUAUUUAGAGUUUUUUUGUAAUAUAAACAAGUGCCUAUCGCAAAGAAAGAACAUAGCAUAUUUUUGUGCAAUUUUAAAUUAUUCAUCGUUCUAUGUGUUUCCAAUCCAAUUUGUAUGGUUGUUUUUGCAGGGUUUAUGUUUUGUUACUUUACAAUUUAUCUCUUAAGAACCUUAUAUAUUAUGUUUUGCUAAUUUCAAUAUGUAAUAGCAUAUGUGAGGAAAAAGGUUUUUCAAUUUGUUUUCCUUCACUUUGUUGCAUGUCUAUGUUCUUUUACUCAUGAAUACAAUUGGGACUGUAAAUGCUAUGUUCGGUUUUCUUGUAGUUAUUCAGAAUAUCACUUGGGAUGUGCAUAUAAUACUUUCUUAUUAUAGAAGUCUUUGCCCUAGUUAUAAAUUAUGAUUUGAUUUUAUAUUUUUGGAUUGAAAAAUGCUUGUAAUUCUUUUCGCUAGUCUAAUUUCUUGAUGAUUCAUUCUAUUAAGCCAACACCCUUUAAUAUUCCUUAAAAAAAUGUUGACAAGCGGAGGAUAACCGAUGCAUAUGGAACGAGUUAGCUCACUUACAUCACAUUCCCAACCUAUACUCUUUUUAGCAUGUUGUCCAUACUUUGUCUCCACUAUUCAGGUUUAGAAUUGACUCCUCUCCUUUUGCUCUGAAUUGUUUACCCCUUUCAUUCAUUUACUAAAAUUUUUUGUACUCCUUCUGAUGUUUUGAUCUUUUUUUUUUAACUCUUAUUUGAAGUAGAACAACAAUAUACCACUUGAGCAAGGAGCACAUAUCAUUGAAUCCAUGUGGUAAGUGGUUAAUUCUCGUCUCUCAAGUUUCUUGAUCGUGGGAAUCUAAAUGCUUUGGGGUGCAUGGAUAACAAUAGCGACAUAUCUCCCUCAUUUUCAUUGAGAGGCAAGUUGGUUUGAGGGGAGUAUAAAAUAAGGAGAACUAGCAGGACCAUUCUUCCCAUUCCUGCCAUGAUGGAGGAAAAGAGACGGUGGAGGGAUAGUAUCAAUAUCACUAGCAAAACAACAAAUUUGAAGGGAUUACCCAUCAUCAGCAAAGCCAUUAUUCCCAUGUCUGAGGACACUCCAACUUUUUUAUUUGCCCAAUUUGGAGGGAUGGGGAAGGAGGGAUGUAGCAGCAGAGCAAGCUCCUUCAUAUGCUUAUCUUGAGGAUCUACAGCUGGGCAACACCACUGUGGAGCUACGCUUACAUUUGAUCUCUGUCUCUUCUUCAUUGAAGUCUCUGUCUAUUAGACGCAUAAAUGAUCCGAUAUCUCUGCCAGAGGGGCUUCAACAUGUUUCCACUCUACAAACUCUCAGAAUUUCCGGUUGCUUUAGUUUGGCAACUUUACCAGACUGGAUUGGCAGCCUCACAUCACUUUCAUACCUUUCCAUUCAAUACUGCCCUGAGUUGAGAUCACUACCAGAAGAGAUGCGAUCCCUCCGCCAUCUAUACACACUCGAAAUCGGUGGAUGUCCAUGCUUAUAUGAAAGAUGCCAAAUGGAAACUGGCGAAGAUUGGCCUAAGAUUUCUCAUAUUCCCGAAAUUAUUAUUUCGCGACAUUGAAGCAGGUAUGUGAAGCUUGCCUUGUCUCUUUAAUUGAAUGCGUCAUCCACAAUAAAUUUCAAGUAUGCAAUCCAAUUUCCAAUUGUUUGUUGUGCUUUUUCUUAUUUGUUCGCACUUCACCUGUUCGAUAAAAUGCUUAGGUUACCAAAAUGCCUUGUUACUCGGUGUUUGCAGUUUACACGUUUGCAUUUUAUUGCCGUCGAAAUUGUUGUCAUCUCAUUUCUCUCAAAUAUUAUAUAAAUUUCAGAAUAUAAUACUUGAAACUGUUGCACUACUGAUUAUUUAAGGCUUGGAAUGCCUUCAAAAAUUGCAACCAUCAUGCCUCUAGAUGGCCACCCAAGAAAACUAAAGCUCAGGAAACUCAGCCAGGAAUUUAUAUUAAUCAGAACUAGACUCUUAUAUGGAUUUGCUUGUAGUGUUUAACAAUGUUUGGGCUAGAACUUAAAGAAGUGUAGCUCCAUAUUCCUUGAUAGACAUGUUAAUGUAUUGAGGUGAACCCCACCACAUGUUGAAUUGAUUGGUAGUGUGAAGAAGACCAUUGGUGUAUAUAGGUGUAGACUAAGGUGCUUCUUCCACAGGGCUGCCACAAGCAAUCUAAUUUCUUUUUCUUAUUUUUUUUCUUUUUUUUAUGUUGAUUCUUAUAAGAUGGCACCAAAAGCAUAAAAUAAAAUCUAAUGCUUAUUUAGAGUUUUUUGUAAUAUAAACAAGAGUCUAUUGCAAAGAAAGAACAAACAUAUUUCUAUGCAAUUUUAAAUUAUUCAACUUACUAUGUGUUUGCAAUCCAAUUUGUAUGGUUGUUUUUACGGGGUUUAUUUUUAGUUAUUUUACAAUUCAUCUCUUAAGAACCUUAUAUAUAUUAUAUUUUGCUAAUUUCGAUAUGUAAUAGCAUAUGUGAGGAAAAAGGUUUUUCAAUUUGUUUUCCUUCACUUUGUUGCAUGUCUAUGUUCUUUUAUUCAUGAAGAUAACUGGGACUGUAAAUGUCAUGUUCGGUUUUAUUGUAGUUAUUCAGAAUAUCACUUGGGAUGUGCAUAUAAUACUUUCUUAUUAUGGAAGUCUUUUCCCUGGUUAUAAAUUAUGAUUUGAUUUUAUAUUUUUGGAUUGAACAAUGCUUGUAAUUCUUUUCGCUAUUCUAAUUUCUUGAUGAUUCAUUCUAUUAAGCCAACACCCUUUAAUAUUCCUUAAAAAAAUGUUGACAGGUGGAGGAUAACCGAUGCAUAUGGAACGAGUUAGCUCACUUACAUCACAUUCCCAACCUAUACUCUUUUUAGCAUGUUGUCCAUACUUUGUCUCCACUAUUCAGGUUUAGAAUUGACUCCUCUCCUUUUGCUCUGAAUUGUUUACCCCUUUCAUUCAUUUACUAAAAUUUUUUGUACUCCUUCUGAUGUUUUGAUCUUUUUUUUUUAACUCUUAUUUGAAGUAGAACAACAAUAUACCACUUGAGCAAGGAGCACAUAUUAUUGAAUCCAUGUGGUAAGUGGUUAAUUCUCGUCUCUCAAGUUUCUUGAUCGUGGGAAUCUAAAUGCUUUGGGGUGCAUGGAUAACAAUAGCGACAUAUCUCCCUCAUUUUCAUUGAGAGGCAAGUUGGUUUGAGGGGAGUAUAAAAUAAAGAGAACUAGCAGGACCAUUCUUCCCAUUCCUGCCAUGAUGGAGGAAAAGAGAUGGUGGAGGGAUAGUAUCAAUAUCACUAGCAAAACAACAAAUUUGAAGGGAUUACCCAUCAUCAGCAAAGCCAUUAUUCCCAUGUCUGAGGACACUCCAACUUUUUUAUUUGCCCAAUUUGGAGGGAUGGGGAAGGAGGGAUGUAGCAACAGAGCAAGCUCCUUCAUAUCCUUAUCUUGAGGAUCUACAGCUGGGCAACACCACUGUGGAGCUACGCUUACAUUUGAUCUCUGUCUCUUCUUCAUUGAAGUCUCUGUCUAUUAGACGCAUAAAUGAUCCGAUAUCUCUGCCAGAGGGGCUUCAACAUGUUUCCACCCUACAAACUCUCACAAUUGAAUAUAUCUCUGGUUUGGUCACUUUACCACACUGGAUCGGCCGCCUCACAUCACUUUCAAAGCUUCGCAUUGAACACUGCCAUAAUUUGUUAUUUCUGCCAGCAGAGAUGCGAUCCCUCCGCCAUCUACACACACUUGAAAUCUGUGAUUGUCCACUCUUAUAUAGAAGAUACAAAUACAAAACUGGUGAAGUUUCGGCUAUGAUUUCUCAUAUUCCCGAAAUUAUUAUUUCGCGACAUUGAAGCAGGUAUGUGAAGCUUGCCUUGUCUCUUUAAUUGAAUGCAUCAUCCACAAUAAAUUUCAAGUAUGCAAUCCAAUUUCUAGUUGUUUGUUGUGCUUUUUCUUAUUUGUUCGCACUUCACCUGUUCGAUAAAAUGCUUAGGUUACCAAAAUGCCUUGUUACUCGGUGUUUGUAGUUUACAUGUUUGCAUUUUACUGCCGUCGAAAUUAUUGUCAUCUCACUUCUCUCAAAUAUUAUAUAAAUUUCAGAAUAUAAUACUUGAAACUGUUGCAAUACUGAUUAUUUAAUGCUUAUAAUGCCUUCAAAAAUUGCAACCAUCAUGCCUCUAGAUGGCCACCCAAGAAAACUAAAGCUCAGGAAACUCAGCCAGGAAUUUAUAUUAAUCAAAACUAGACUCUUUUAUGGAUUUGCUUGUAGUGUUUAACAAUGUUUGGGUUAGAACUUAAAGAAGUGUCGCUCCAUAUUCCUUGAUGGACACGUUAAUGUAUUGAGGUGAACCCCACCACAUGUUGAAUUGAUUGGUAGUGUGAAGAAGACCAUUGGUGUAUAUAGGUGUAGACUAAGGUGCUAAAUCCGUGGGGACUGCCACAAGCAAUCUAAUUUUAUUUUAUUUUUUUAUGUUGAUUCUUAAAAGAUGGCACCAAAAGCAUAAAAUAAAAUCUAUUGCUUAUUUAGAGUUUUUUGUAAUAUAAACAAGUGUCUAUCGCAAAGAAAGAAUAGAGCAUAUUUCUAUGCAAUUUUAAAUUAUUCAACUUACUAUGUGUUUGCAAUCCAAUUUGUAUGGUUGUUUUUACAGGGUUUAUUUUUUGUUAUUAUACAAUUUAUCUAGCUCUUUAGAACCUUAUAUAUUAUGUUUUGCUAAUUUCGAUAUGUAAUAGCAUAUGUGAGGGAAAAGGUUUUUCAAUUUGUUUUCCUUCACUUUGUUGCAUGUCUAUGUUCUUUUACUCAUGAAUAUAAUUGGGACUGUAAAUGUCAUGUUCGGUUUCCUUGUAGUUAUUUAGAAUAUCACUUGGGAUGUGCAUAUAAUACUUUCUUAUUAUGCAAGUCUUUUCCCUAGUUAUAAAUUAUGAUUUAAUUUUAUAUUUUUGGAUUGAACAAUGCUUGUAAUUCUUUUCACUAGUCCAAUUUCUUGAUGAUUCAUUCUAUUAACCCAACACCCUUUAAUAUUCCUAAAAAAAAUGUUGAUAGGUUGAGGAUAACCGAUGCAUAUGGAACAAGUUAGCUCACUUACGUCACACUCCCAAUCUAUACUAUCUUUAGCAUGUUGUCCAUACUUUGUCUCCACUAUUCAGGUUUAGAAUUGACUCAUCUCCUUAUGCUCUGGAUUGUUUACCCCUUUCAUUCAUUUACUAAAAAAUGUUGUACUUCGUCUGAUGUUUUUCGUCUGAUAUUUUGAUCUUUUUUUUAACUCUCAUUUAAAGUAGAACAACAAUAAACCACUUGAGCAAGGAGCACAUAUUACUGAAUCCAUGAGGCAAGUGGUUAAUUCUCGUCUCUCAAGCUUCUUGAUCAUGGGAAUCUAAAUGCUUUGGGAUGCAUGGAUAACAAUAGCGGCAUAUCUCCUUCAUUUUCAUUGAAAGGCAAGUUGGUUUGAGGGGAGUAUAAAACAAGGAGAACUAGCAGGACCAUUCUUCCCAUUCCUACCAUGAUGGAGGAAAAGAGAUGGUGGAGGGAUAGUAUCAAUAUCACUAGCAAAACAACAGUAACCAACAUUCAUUACCUCUCUAGUUUCCUCGUCUUUUUAUUUUACUUGAGCUGAAAUGCAUGCUGAUAUAUCUAUAUCUUGAUCAGGAUUUAGAUCUGUAUAACAUCUCUUCCACAAGAGGAGCCCUAAGUGCUUACUUCUCCUAAUUUGGUAAGUAUGUUGCAUUAUUGUUUGUUUGUAUGAUUCUAAAUAUCAGUUUUGAAUGAUGAUGAAAAUUUAUGUUUUUCUCUCAUUUUCUCAAAAUUGAUGACAAAUAGAUAAAAGAUUCUUGUGCUCUUUAAUUCUAGCACACCAUACAAACAUAUUUUAGGUUUGCAAAUCACCCCAUAUUCCUUUUCUAUGGGGUUUACUUUUCAUUAUUUUACAAUCUGUCCUUUAAGAAUGUUACACUUUCUUUACAGCUUUAAUGGUUACCAGAGUCUUUGAUGCAUUUCCAAAAACACUCAUAUUAUGCAAGUCCUUUUCAUGGUUAUGAGUCAUGUUUGUAAUUCUUUUGAUUGGAUUUUAUUGGACAAAUUUAUUGCAGAUUUAUUCUAUUGCAGACCAAUACCAAAGGGGUGAUGUUGAGGAUUGGAUAGAUGCUUUUCAAUAUUCCAUAAAUAAAUAUUGACAUGUUAUGGGUACCCGAGGCAUAUGGGAAGAGUUAGCCAUUCAAUUCGAUAUUUAAGCUUUGCAUGUUGUCUAUAACAUGUCUUCAUUAUUCAGGUUUAGGACCCAUUCCUCUCUUUUUUGGUUUUGUUGGUUUAUUUUCUGUUAUUUAAUUUGCUAAAAAUUCUUAUACCUUGUCUUAUAGGAAGGGUGAAACAAGGAGAAUUAACAGGAUUAUUCUUCUCAUUUCUGCCAUGAUGGAGAAACUCAAAAACUAGAUAAACUUAAAACAUAUGUCGAGGUGGUAGUGGCAUUACCAGAUAAACAACAGAAGCUUCAUUCUUGCCAUGUUUUCCUUUUCUUCCUAUUCUCCUUGAGCCGACAUCCAUGCCACUGCAUCUAUAUCUUAAGGAUCCACAGUACCAUCUCCUUCAUUUCCUUUCUCCUUCCUACAUCCAUUGAUGUCUAUGCAUAUUGAUGGCGAUAGAGAAUCCAACAUAUGUUCCAAAAAAAGGAUUUUGGUACAUCAUUUCUCUCUUAAAUUUUGACAUGCCAUUGUUUAUUUGUCCAAGUCUAGAUAUUCGAAAUGUAAAUGCUAAUGGUGGUGAAAUCUUAUGUCUUAGGGAAUUUCAGCAAGUUAAAGAUUUUUAUGUGAAAGUAGGAAUCAAUUCUAAGAACUUGAGAGGUAGCAUUCAAUAUGUAUUCACCUUACUACAGCAAAGAAUCUAACACUUUGGGUAUGUGUUCAUUCUUUAACUUAGGUAAAAUAGAUGGUAAGUCACCUCACUAAGCUUGUUGUUAUUCAUUGUCAAGCUUGAAAUCACUACUAGAGGGAUGUCAAAAGGAAGCAUGUGCAGAUUGAUCUGAUGGCUUAUCAUGUCCCAAGAAUUCAUAUCUACCAGUCUCAAAUAGCUAAUGCACAAAGGACCU